Molecule: long non-coding RNA, 2213 nt
Organism: Cavia porcellus (domestic guinea pig)
Lineage: Eukaryota; Metazoa; Chordata; Mammalia; Rodentia; Caviidae
Exons: 2
Source: RefSeq, a predicted model, not a curated record
CAAGUCAUCGGGGGAGUUUCUCUGCCUGUCUCUUCUUGCAGUGUACUUUGGGAGGGGAAAAUUCUCAGAUUUCUGUUUCUGGUUGCUUGGUUUUCCUCAAAGCAGACACUCAUUUGGGUCUGGUGGUUGGCUGUGCAUACCAGACAGUGUACAUCUAUUUAUAAUUCCACACAUAUAUUUUUAUCUUUUUUCUGCUUUCUGCUUGAGGUUGGAAAAGCCCAUGGAAAACAUGACUAGACUGUUUUUAUAUUAUGCUAAUUGGAGAUCAUAUUACUGUGUUCUUGAUCCUGGUUUCUACUUGGCAUGAAGGAAACUGGUAAAAGGUUAGAAAUUCAGGCGAUGGCUGCUCUCCCUGGAGACUGUGGUUGUUAUUACAUUAUAUCAGUGAAUGGGCAUUCUGAUUACUAGUGUUCUAUUAGAGAUGGUAGACAAAAGGUAUCCUUCGAGGGUCUGAGCGUGUGUGUGUGUGUGUGUGUGUGUGUGUGUGUGCGUGUGUGUGUUGCUUCCCAGUAACUUUAGGAAUCUAGACAGCUUUAGACAAUCCCUGGGAAUCGUCAUUCCAGGCUCUAAAGGAGGGACUGGGGCAGUUUGAGCUUCUCUUUCCUGGGUCUCCCCUUGGGAUUGAGCUUGUAGUGUGGGAGGGAAGAUGCUUCAUGUUAUAUGGAUAUUUCUUCCAGCCCUCUCAAACCAGGGUUAACUGUCACUGGUGGUGGGAGCUUGGUUUCUCAGAAGCCUCUUUACAAGUUUGGCCAUGAAAACACCUUUUCUCACGAGAUCAGAGUUCACUUCAGGUUGCUUCCCUGUUCCUCGGCAUCUCACCAUGUUGCAUUUGCAUUUCUUUCACAUCAGCUCUGAGCUGGAAUGAGGGAAGUCUUGGAGGAAGCUUGAGAAGUACAAGGGGUUAGUGAGAAGCAAAGCGCUCUGCAGUAACUGCUCAGAUCCUCCUGAAUGGAAGAACAAGAUUCACCUGUCAAACCCAUCCAGUGCCUUGUGCUCAGCUGGACAGUCAAAUGCAGUUUCCUCUCUCAUGAUUCCGUAAUGUGUUCUACAUUAACCCUCACCGGGACUCUUCUUUCUUUUUCUAUCCUUCCUUUUUCUUAUCCUUUUCUCCAUACCAACAACUACCAUUUAGUGAGAAUUUUCACAUGAAGCUCUAGGUCUUGCACUUCCAUAUAUUCUUAUAUUUAACCCCUAGAGCAUGCAAGGAGAUAGAAUGAUCCUCACCAAAUGGAUAAACUAAGGCUUGGUGAGUUUAAAUAAAUAGCCUACUGUCACACAAAGGUGAGAAGCAGCUUUAAAAUGUGAACCUAGGUUCAGCACUGUCUACCAGACAAAAUGCCCUCCUUCGUUUCAUUUUUCUACCCUCACAGUGCUUUUUUUUUUGUUCCUUUGUUUCCCAUGUUCAUAGCAGUGUCUCAUUAUGUGCUCAACUAAAGCACUUUUAGAGUCCUAUUGUCUGAGUAAUUGUGUAACUGUACUUCUUGCCUUUCUCAGUAGAUUUUCUCUUUCAUCCCUUUCCUGAAUAUCUCAUGUUUCCACAUGUAUCCCAACAGUUUGCAUAACAUUCGUAACCUGAGCACUGCCAAGACUGAAUCACAGCUAUUUAGCCAUCCGAGGUUAACCUAAAAGGGAAAGCACUCUCCGUGAGCGUCAGUCACUAGAUGGCGCGCUAAACACGCGCAGGGCAGGACCAGGGUUGGGAAUAUACAACAGACAAAAUGGAUCAAGCACCAGCUCUGGAGGGAGUCACAUCCUACUAGCAAGAGAGACCAAUAGAUGUCAAGCAGUAACAAGCACUUCAAAGAAAAGCAAUUAUAAUUCAAGGAAAGGUGAUAGCAAUUGGAGGAAGAAAAGUGGUAUUUAAAAUGGUAUCAAAGGCUGCCUUGUUACUAGUUAUAUCUUGCAUGAAAAAGAGAAUCUUUUAUAUAUCUUCCUGUUUGUCAAUUAUUAAGCCUUUGAAAUUAGAGUUUCAUUCAUAGUCUGAAAUCUCUAGAAGCAAUUCUAUUGAUUGAGGUAGCUGAUCAAAUUGUUUAAUUCUGUCUCGGGUGAAAAUAAUAGAUGACUGUAAAGUAAUAAAUUUCCUGCAUAACUCUCUAACUGACUUUGGAGAAACAUGUAAAAGGAAUUUCAAAAAUUCUUUGAAUCUCUGGCAUAGGCUGUUCUAAUAAAUGAAAAUAAUGUAUAUAUAAUAAAUAAAUAAUUUACACAUUGCU